AGAAGAGCUGCCCUGAUGCAAGAUGUUAUUGGAAAUAACCAGCCUGUUGAUCGACUGUGCAAUGAGAACAUAUCAGCACAAGAUCAGCAGUACAAGAAGGCGGUAGACAAGAUGCUGGCAUUUGAUUCCCUCAAUGGUGAGCUCAAAGCAUUCUUCAAAGACAUAUUUCCUUCAUAAUCCCAAUUUUCCUUUUAUCAUUAAUUAGAGUUACUUCUAGUUUGCAUGACUGGACUAGUAAAAAAUGUCUCCUUUUGAUGUGCCCUCUCGAAAGUUUAAGUAGAGAGACCAUGAAAAUUGAGGAAGCGUAAGUUGGCCUUCCAUCUACUGGUCAUUGCCCAUUCACGUUGCAAAAUUUUCGGUCCUACUAUGAACUUCCAGGGUAAAUGUAACUGGUAGUAUUUGCCCAAAUCUAGCCUUUUCGGAUCCUUCGGUUUA
This is a long non-coding RNA of Syzygium oleosum, 435 nucleotides long. RefSeq lists it as uncharacterized. Lineage: Eukaryota; Viridiplantae; Streptophyta; Magnoliopsida; Myrtales; Myrtaceae. The transcript has 2 exons. The record is from RefSeq and is a predicted model, not a curated record.